AGUGAACGCUGGCGGUAGGCCUAACACAUGCAAGUCGAACGGCAGCACAGUAAGAGCUUGCUCUUACGGGUGGCGAGUGGCGGACGGGUGAGGAAUACAUCGGAAUCUACUUUUUCGUGGGGGAUAACGUAGGGAAACUUACGCUAAUACCGCAUACGACCUACAGGUGAAAGCAGGGGAUCUUCGGACCUUGCGCGAUUGAAUGAGCCGAUGUCGGAUUAGCUAGUUGGCGGGGUAAAGGCCCACCAAGGCGACGAUCCGUAGCUGGUCUGAGAGGAUGAUCAGCCACACUGGAACUGAGACACGGUCCAGACUCCUACGGGAGGCAGCAGUGGGGAAUAUUGGACAAUGGGCGCAAGCCUGAUCCAGCCAUACCGCGUGGGUGAAGAAGGCCUGCGGGUUGUAAAGCCCUUUUGUUGGGAAAGAAAAGCAGCAGGUUAAGACCCCGCUGUUCUGACGGUACCCAAAGAAUAAGCACCGGCUAACUUCGU
RNAcentral lists this ribosomal RNA (491 nucleotides) under uncultured bacterium. RNAcentral describes it as "partial 16S ribosomal RNA". It matches the Rfam family "Bacterial small subunit ribosomal RNA", at positions 29 to 506 of the family's 1533-position model. The record is from RNAcentral.